CCGGUAGCUCAGUCGGUUAGAGCGCAGCUCUGAUAAAGCUGAGGUCGUAAGUUCGAAUCUUACUCGGCC
RNAcentral lists this transfer RNA (69 nucleotides) under marine eukaryotic metagenome. It matches the Rfam family "tRNA". From Rfam's summary of the family: Transfer RNA (tRNA) molecules are approximately 80 nucleotides in length. The record is from RNAcentral.